RNAcentral lists this ribosomal RNA (252 nucleotides) under uncultured bacterium. Its description in RNAcentral is "partial 16S ribosomal RNA". It matches the Rfam family "Bacterial small subunit ribosomal RNA", at positions 524 to 776 of the family's 1533-position model. The record is from RNAcentral.
UACGAAGGUCCCGAGCGUUGUUCGGAAUCACUGGGCGUAAAGGGAGCGUAGGCGGCGUGGUAGGCAGAUGGGAAAUCCCGGGGCUCAACCCCGGAACUGCAUCCGAUACUGCCAUGCUAGAGGAUUGGAGAGGUAGCUGGAAUUCUUGGUGUAGCAGUGAAAUGCGUGGAGAUCAAGAGGAACACUCGUGGCGAAAGCGAGCUACUGGACAAUAUCUGACGCUGAGGCUCGAAGGCCAGGGUAGCGAAAGGG